CAAAAUUGAAGAUGGAAAAUCAUCACCCUGCUACGUCCUCUUCUGUUCUGAGCAAAUGCUCAAGGAGGGAAUCUCAGAUACGUCUGACAGGCUCUGUACUGCCCAUAGCU
This is a long non-coding RNA of Nothoprocta perdicaria, 110 nucleotides long. RefSeq lists it as uncharacterized. Lineage: Eukaryota; Metazoa; Chordata; Aves; Tinamiformes; Tinamidae. The transcript is spliced from 2 exons. The record is from RefSeq and is a predicted model, not a curated record.